UUCAUAUUUCAGCGUCAGAGGUGAAAUUCUUGGAUCGCUGAAAGAUGAGCUUAGGCGA
This 58-nucleotide ribosomal RNA is filed under the name Phytophthora infestans T30-4. RNAcentral describes it as "18S ribosomal RNA". Lineage: Eukaryota; Oomycota; Peronosporomycetes; Peronosporales; Peronosporaceae. The record is from RNAcentral.